This 442-nucleotide ribosomal RNA is filed under the name uncultured bacterium. RNAcentral describes it as "partial 16S ribosomal RNA". It matches the Rfam family "Bacterial small subunit ribosomal RNA", at positions 338 to 795 of the family's 1533-position model. The record is from RNAcentral.
CCUACGGGAGGCAGCAGUGGGGAAUAUUGGGCAAUGGGCGCAAGCCUGACCCAGCAACGCCGCGUGAAGGAAGAAGGCUUUCGGGUUGUAAACUUCUUUUGUCAGGGAAGAGUAGAAGACGGUACCUGACGAAUAAGCCACGGCUAACUACGUGCCAGCAGCCGCGGUAAUACGUAGGUGGCAAGCGUUGUCCGGAUUUACUGGGUGUAAAGGGCGUGUAGCCGGGUUGACAAGUCAGAUGUGAAAUCCUGCGGCUUAACCGCAGAACUGCAUUUGAAACGGUUGAUCGUGAGUACUGGAGAGGCAGGUGGAAUGCCGGGUGUAGCGGUGAAAUGCGGAGAUAUAAGGAAGAAAACGAGUGGAGAAGGCGGAGGACUGGACGGCAACUGACGGGGAGGAGCGAAAGCGUGGGGAGAAAACAGGAUUAGAUACCCCAGUAGUC